This 459-nucleotide ribosomal RNA is filed under the name uncultured bacterium. RNAcentral describes it as "partial 16S ribosomal RNA". It matches the Rfam family "Bacterial small subunit ribosomal RNA", at positions 338 to 795 of the family's 1533-position model. The record is from RNAcentral.
CCUACGGGUGGCAGCAGUGAGGAAUAUUGGUCAAUGGGCGCGAGCCUGAACCAGCCAAGUAGCGUGAAGGAUGACUGCCCUACGGGUUGUAAACUUCUGUUAUAAAGGAAUAAAGUGAGGCACGUGUGCCUUUUGUAUGUACUUUAUGAAUAAGGAUCCGCUAACUCCGUGCCAGCAGCCGCGGUAAUACGGAGGAUCCGAGCGUUGUCCGGAUUUAUUGGGUUGAAAGGGAGCGUAGUUGGGUUGUUAAGUCAGUUGUGAAAGUUUGCGGCUCAACCGGAAAAUUGCAAAUGAUACUGGGAGUCUUGAGUACAGUUGAGGUAGGCGGAAUUCGUGGUGUAGCGGUGAAAUGCUUAGAUAUCACGAAGAACUCCGAUUGCGAAGGCAGGUUCCUAAACUGCCACUGACAUUGAGGCUCGAAAGUGUGGGUAGCAAAAAGGAUUAGAUACCCCUGUAGUC